GGGUUGUGAGGUUAAGCGACUAAGCGUACACGGUGGAUGCCCUGGCAGUCAGAGGCGAUGAAGGACGUGCUAAUCUGCGAUAAGCGUCGGUAAGGUGAUAUGAACCGUUAUAACCGGCGAUUUCCGAAUGGGGAAACCCAGUGUGAUUCGUCACACUAUCAUUAACUGAAUCCAUAGGUUAAUGAGGCGAACCGGGGGAACUGAAACAUCUAAGUACCCCGAGGAAAAGAAAUCAACCGAGAUUCCCCCAGUAGCGGCGAGCGAACGGGGAGCAGCCCAGAGCCUGAAUCAGUGUGUGUGUUAGUGGAAGCGUCUGGAAAGGCGCGCGAUACAGGGUGACAGCCCCGUACACAAAAAUGCACAUGCUGUGAGCUCGAUGAGUAGGGCGGGACACGUGGUAUCCUGUCUGAAUAUGGGGGGACCAUCCUCCAAGGCUAAAUACUCCUGACUGACCGAUAGUGAACCAGUACCGUGAGGGAAAGGCGA
Molecule: ribosomal RNA, 486 nt
Filed under: Escherichia coli
Lineage: Bacteria; Pseudomonadati; Pseudomonadota; Gammaproteobacteria; Enterobacterales; Enterobacteriaceae
Description: partial 23S ribosomal RNA
Rfam family: Bacterial large subunit ribosomal RNA
Source: RNAcentral